CGGACGGGUGAGUAACACGUGGAUAACCUACCUAUAAGACUGGGAUAACUUCGGGAAACCGGAGCUAAUACUGGAUAAUAUAUUGAACCGCAUGGUUCAAUAGUGAAAGACGGUUUUGCUGUCACUUAUAGAUGGAUCCGCGCCGCAUUAGCUAGUUGGUAAGGUAACGGCUUACCAAGGCGACGAUGCGUAGCCGACCUGAGAGGGUGAUCGGCCACACUGGAACUGAGACACGGUCCAG
Molecule: ribosomal RNA, 241 nt
Filed under: uncultured Staphylococcus sp.
Lineage: Bacteria; Bacillati; Bacillota; Bacilli; Caryophanales; Staphylococcaceae
Description: partial 16S ribosomal RNA
Rfam family: Bacterial small subunit ribosomal RNA
Source: RNAcentral